This 86-nucleotide transfer RNA is filed under the name Phycisphaerales bacterium. RNAcentral's name for it is "tRNA-Leu". It matches the Rfam family "tRNA". Rfam says of the family: Transfer RNA (tRNA) molecules are approximately 80 nucleotides in length. Their secondary structure includes four short double-helical elements and three loops (D, anti-codon, and T loops). The record is from RNAcentral. Lineage: Bacteria; Pseudomonadati; Planctomycetota; Phycisphaerae; Phycisphaerales.
GGGCCUGUGGCGGAAUUGGCAGACGCAGGGGACUUAAAAUCCCCCGAGGAUUAAACCUCAUGAGGGUUCGAGUCCCUCUGGGCCCA